RNAcentral lists this ribosomal RNA (254 nucleotides) under uncultured bacterium. RNAcentral's name for it is "partial 16S ribosomal RNA". It matches the Rfam family "Bacterial small subunit ribosomal RNA", at positions 524 to 776 of the family's 1533-position model. The record is from RNAcentral.
UACAGGGGGUGCAAACGUUGCUCGGAAUUAUUGGGCGUAAAGCGCGCGUAGGCGGCCACUUAAGUCGGAUGUGAAAGCCCCUGGCUCAACUGGGGAAGUGCACCCGAAACUGAAUGGCUUGAAUGCAAAAGAGGGUCGCGGAAUUCCCGAGUGUAGAGGUGAAAUUCGUAGAUAUUCGGAAGAACACCAGUGGCGAAGGCGGCUCACUGGACGACUGUUGACGCUGAGGUGCGAAAGCGUGGGGAGCAAACAGG